UUGAAGCAAAUCGAUUUCAAAUUAGUUUUCUAUACCACAAAGUAGUUUUAUAGUUCCUCAUAAUAGUUUGUUAAUAGUGACAACGUUUAUUAAAUUGGCUUCUAUAUACGUAAUUUGUUUUGUUGAACUAUCAAAGUAAACACAUCUAUCUAGGAAUGUGACCUCUUUUGUGAAUACAAAAUUGAAUAGUGCGAAAACAAUUGAUGGUUUUGAAGAUACAAAAUGCUGGUUUACAGUAUACGAUGAUUGGUCUAAGAUGUAUAAUUUUUCAACAAAUUAGUGGCACAGAUAAUCAAGGUGAAGAAGUUAUUUAAACAGUUGAUGUGUUGUGAUAAAUUGCAUUCGUUAUUGUGUUUGUGUGCCGUCAACAUGAAACGUUUGACAGUCUUAUUUGUUUUGUUCACAAUCGUAAUUAGUUUACAACAAACGAAUGCGGAAUGUCCUCCGGGUCAAUACGAUCCUGGUCCCGACUGUUCCUUCGAAGUCAUCUGUGGACUUCCAAGCGCUCAUUCGGCGAGACGACACUACUGCGACUGCUGGUGUAACCCUGGGACCGUCAGGGACAGCAUCACCAAUGAGUGCGUCGAAAAAUGUCCGUAGUUUAAUUGCACAUUGAUUUUUAAGUACCUAAGUAUGUUUGUUUUAAGUUAUUUAAAUGUUUAAUGUGGGAUUGAGUGUUGAGUUUCAUUAAUAACUGUUUAAUUUCUGGACUCUAUAUAUAUAAAUCUCGUCUAUAAAAGAGGGCAUUGCCGUAACCUCCAUGCCUGACAAGUGGGUUGGAGUUUAUAGUAUAAAGUUAAGUAUUCACGCUUAAUGCAAGUAAAUAUACCUAUGUAUAUGAAUAAAGCGACAAAGAAAACUAUUUGUAGAAAUAAGGUCAAAUUCGUUUUAUAUCCUUAUCUUUAACCCAGAUAUGCAUAUGUCAGACCUCUGGACAUAAUAUUUAUUUUUCAUUCUGAUAUCUAAUUUAUGUCGUAUGAAUACUUUACUCAUGUAUCGUUAUAUUUCUAGGUCAAUAAUUUUAAUUCAUAAAUAUGUAAUUACUUAAUUAUUAUUAUUGUUGUAGAACUUUGUUCUAGUAGUUGUUUAUCACGACUGUUGGUCACAAAGUCGUAAUUAUGUAGGUACUAUGUAUAAGGUUAAAAUGUAUGUAUUAAAUCUGAAUACAAAUGA
Molecule: non-coding RNA, 1173 nt
Organism: Spodoptera litura
Lineage: Eukaryota; Metazoa; Arthropoda; Insecta; Lepidoptera; Noctuidae
Source: RefSeq, a predicted model, not a curated record